GAGGGUAUAGCUCAAGUGGUAGAGCACAUGCUUAGCACGCACAAGCUCCCAGGUUCAAUCCCUGGUAUCUGUA
RNAcentral lists this transfer RNA (73 nucleotides) under Camelus bactrianus (Bactrian camel). It matches the Rfam family "tRNA". Rfam says of the family: Transfer RNA (tRNA) molecules are approximately 80 nucleotides in length. Their secondary structure includes four short double-helical elements and three loops (D, anti-codon, and T loops). Further hydrogen bonds mediate the characteristic L-shaped molecular structure. tRNAs have two regions of fundamental functional importance: the anti-codon, which is responsible for specific mRNA codon recognition, and the 3' end, to which the tRNAs corresponding amino acid is attached (by aminoacyl-tRNA synthetases). tRNAs cope with the degeneracy of the genetic code in two manners: having more than one tRNA (with a specific anti-codon) for a particular amino acid; and 'wobble' base-pairing, i.e. permitting non-standard base-pairing at the 3rd anti-codon position. RNAcentral also lists the same sequence under 2 other names. The record is from Rfam by way of RNAcentral. Lineage: Eukaryota; Metazoa; Chordata; Mammalia; Artiodactyla; Camelidae.